Molecule: ribosomal RNA, 1552 nt
Filed under: Staphylococcus aureus
Lineage: Bacteria; Bacillati; Bacillota; Bacilli; Caryophanales; Staphylococcaceae
Description: 16S ribosomal RNA
Rfam family: Bacterial small subunit ribosomal RNA
Source: RNAcentral
UUUAUGGAGAGUUUGAUCCUGGCUCAGGAUGAACGCUGGCGGCGUGCCUAAUACAUGCAAGUCGAGCGAACGGACGAGAAGCUUGCUUCUCUGAUGUUAGCGGCGGACGGGUGAGUAACACGUGGAUAACCUACCUAUAAGACUGGGAUAACUUCGGGAAACCGGAGCUAAUACCGGAUAAUAUUUUGAACCGCAUGGUUCAAAAGUGAAAGACGGUCUUGCUGUCACUUAUAGAUGGAUCCGCGCUGCAUUAGCUAGUUGGUAAGGUAACGGCUUACCAAGGCAACGAUGCAUAGCCGACCUGAGAGGGUGAUCGGCCACACUGGAACUGAGACACGGUCCAGACUCCUACGGGAGGCAGCAGUAGGGAAUCUUCCGCAAUGGGCGAAAGCCUGACGGAGCAACGCCGCGUGAGUGAUGAAGGUCUUCGGAUCGUAAAACUCUGUUAUUAGGGAAGAACAUAUGUGUAAGUAACUGUGCACAUCUUGACGGUACCUAAUCAGAAAGCCACGGCUAACUACGUGCCAGCAGCCGCGGUAAUACGUAGGUGGCAAGCGUUAUCCGGAAUUAUUGGGCGUAAAGCGCGCGUAGGCGGUUUUUUAAGUCUGAUGUGAAAGCCCACGGCUCAACCGUGGAGGGUCAUUGGAAACUGGAAAACUUGAGUGCAGAAGAGGAAAGUGGAAUUCCAUGUGUAGCGGUGAAAUGCGCAGAGAUAUGGAGGAACACCAGUGGCGAAGGCGACUUUCUGGUCUGUAACUGACGCUGAUGUGCGAAAGCGUGGGGAUCAAACAGGAUUAGAUACCCUGGUAGUCCACGCCGUAAACGAUGAGUGCUAAGUGUUAGGGGGUUUCCGCCCCUUAGUGCUGCAGCUAACGCAUUAAGCACUCCGCCUGGGGAGUACGACCGCAAGGUUGAAACUCAAAGGAAUUGACGGGGACCCGCACAAGCGGUGGAGCAUGUGGUUUAAUUCGAAGCAACGCGAAGAACCUUACCAAAUCUUGACAUCCUUUGACAACUCUAGAGAUAGAGCCUUCCCCUUCGAGGGACAAAGUGACAGGUGGUGCAUGGUUGUCGUCAGCUCGUGUCGUGAGAUGUUGGGUUAAGUCCCGCAACGAGCGCAACCCUUAAGCUUAGUUGCCAUCAUUAAGUUGGGCACUCUAAGUUGACUGCCGGUGACAAACCGGAGGAAGGUGGGGAUGACGUCAAAUCAUCAUGCCCCUUAUGAUUUGGGCUACACACGUGCUACAAUGGACAAUACAAAGGGCAGCGAAACCGCGAGGUCAAGCAAAUCCCAUAAAGUUGUUCUCAGUUCGGAUUGUAGUCUGCAACUCGACUACAUGAAGCUGGAAUCGCUAGUAAUCGUAGAUCAGCAUGCUACGGUGAAUACGUUCCCGGGUCUUGUACACACCGCCCGUCACACCACGAGAGUUUGUAACACCCGAAGCCGGUGGAGUAACCUUUUAGGAGCUAGCCGUCGAAGGUGGGACAAAUGAUUGGGGUGAAGUCGUAACAAGGUAGCCGUAUCGGAAGGUGCGGCUGGAUCACCUCCUUU